GGGAUGGAAGGGAGAGCUCUAUAGGACAGGGGGCAGAACAGGGAGCUCUUUCACACUACGCACACACACACAAUGCAUCCCUAUACACACAGAAACACAACAUGCUUCCCUUACACACAGAGAAAUACACAAUGCAUCCAUUACACACACACACACACACACAAUGCAACCAUUACACAUAAAGACAAUGCAUCCUUUGCACAUAUACACAGAAACACAAAAUGCAUCCCUUACACACACAUGCAAACACACACUGCUUCUCUAAAACAC
This is a non-coding RNA of Pelobates cultripes (western spadefoot toad), 270 nucleotides long. Lineage: Eukaryota; Metazoa; Chordata; Amphibia; Anura; Pelobatidae. The record is from the annotation of a GenBank genome assembly.